RNAcentral lists this ribosomal RNA (1732 nucleotides) under Capsicum annuum var. glabriusculum (American bird pepper). Its description in RNAcentral is "eukaryotic LSU rRNA". It matches the Rfam family "Eukaryotic large subunit ribosomal RNA", at positions 1584 to 3388 of the family's 3401-position model. The record is from RNAcentral. Lineage: Eukaryota; Viridiplantae; Streptophyta; Magnoliopsida; Solanales; Solanaceae.
CGCGCGUACUUCAAACAGGAAUGGGGUUAAAAUUUCUGAACCAGGACAUGGCGGUUAACAGCAUUAUUAGAAAGUCUAAAGAUAUUGGUGGGAGCUUCAAGAAAAGUUAUCUUUUAUGUUUAAAACCCUUCCCACCCUUGAAUCGGCUCAGCUGGAGGUAGGGUCCAGCGGCUGAAGAGUACCGCACGUCAUGUGGUGUCUGGUGUGCUCUCGGUAGCCCUUGAAAAUCUGGAGGACGGAAUGUUAUCCACGCCCGAUCGUAUGGGACAUAGUAGGCAAGGGAAAUCGGAAAAAUAGAUUCAUAACUUUGGGAAAAGGAUUGGCUCUGAGGGCUAGGCAAAACCCGCCGGCUAUCAGUGGACCACUCGAGCUGCUCCCAAGGCGAGAGCAGGAUCCGUGGACCAGCUGGGGGACAGACUGGGAAUGGUUCCUUCGGUGGCCUUCCCUACGUGUAGAUCAACAAACUCAGAACUGGUACGGAUAAGGGAAUCCGACUAUUUAAUCAAAACAUAGAAUUUCGAUGGUCCCAACGGAUGUUCAUGCAAUUUGAUUUCCGCCUAGUGCUCUAAAUGUCAAAGUGAAUAAAUUUAACAAAGCGCGGGUAAACGGCGGGAGUAACUAUGACUCUCUUAAUAUAUCCAAAUGCCUCAUCAUCUAUUUAGUGAUGCGCAUGAGUGGAUUAAUGAGAUUUCCAUUGUCCUUGUCUACUAUCCAACGAAACAACAACCAAGGGAAUUGGCUUGGCAGAAUCAGCAGGGAAAAAAGACCCUGUUGAGCUUGACUCUAGUCCUACUUUUUGAAAUGACUUGAGAGGUGUAGUAUAAGUGGGACCCAAAAGGUAAAAGUGAAAUACCACUACUUUUAAUGUUAUUUUACUUAUUUCGUGUAUUAGAAGAGGGGCACUACUCAUCUUUUUGGACCCAAGGCUCGCUCUGUAGGCUAAUCCGAGCAGAAUACAUUGUUAGUUAGGGAGUUUGGCUAGGGAAGCACAUCUAUUAAAAGAUAACGCAGGUGUCCUAAGAUGAACUCAAUGAGAACAGAAAUCUUGUGUGGAAAAGAAGGGUAAAAGCUUGUUUUAUUCUAAUUUCCAGUACGAAUACAAACCAUGAAAGCGUGGACUAACUAUUAUUUAGAUCUUUGGAAUUCGAAGAUAGAGGUGUCAGAAAAGUUACCACAAGGAUAACUAGCUUGUGGUAGCCAAGAGUUCAUAGCGACGUUGCUUUUUUAUACUUCUAUGUCGGGUCUUCCUAUCAUUGUAAAGCUGAAUUCACCAAGUAUUGGAUUUUUCACCCACCAAUAGGGAACGUGAGUUUGGUUUAGACCAUCGUGAGAUAGUUUAGUUUUACCGUACUGAUAACAGUUCCGCAGUAUUACUUCAACCAAGUAUGAGAGGAACCAUUGAUUCACAUAAUUGGUUAUUGCGCUUAGUUUAAAAGCCAGUGGUGUGAAGCUACUGUCUGUUGGAUUAUAAAUGAAUGCCUAUAAGUAAGUUUCCAGGUUAUAAUUGAUGCAUGCGCCGGUGGUCUGCUUGGCAACCCGCAGUAGGGGCCACGGCCCCCAAGAGCAUCUUUGGCUAAGCCAAAACGGCAGAAGGUUUGUGGUGGCCGCCUUGAAGUACAAUCUCCAUCAAGCUGCAGGUAGAAUCCUUUGUAGAUGACUUAAAUACACGAUGGGGUAUUGUAAGUGGUGGAGUGUCCUUGCUUCCACGAUCCACUAAGAUUCAGCCCUUUGU